This 301-nucleotide ribosomal RNA is filed under the name uncultured bacterium. Its description in RNAcentral is "partial 16S ribosomal RNA". It matches the Rfam family "Bacterial small subunit ribosomal RNA", at positions 509 to 807 of the family's 1533-position model. The record is from RNAcentral.
CAGUCGCCGCGGGAAUACGUAGGUGGCAAGCGUUGUCCGGAAUUAUUGGGCGUAGAGGGCUCGCAGGCGGUUUCUUAAGUCUGAUGUGAAAGCCCCCGGCUCAACCGGGGAGGGUCAUUGGAAACUGGGAAACUUGAGUGCAGAAGAGGAGAGUGGAAUUCCACGUGUAGCGGUGAAAUGCGUAGAGAUGUGGAGGAACACCAGUGGCGAAGGCGACUCUCUGGUCUGUAACUGACGCUGAGGAGCGAAAGCGUGGGGAGCGAACAGGAUUAGAUACCCCAGUAGUCCCUGUCUCUUAUAC